This 252-nucleotide ribosomal RNA is filed under the name uncultured bacterium. RNAcentral's name for it is "partial 16S ribosomal RNA". It matches the Rfam family "Bacterial small subunit ribosomal RNA", at positions 524 to 776 of the family's 1533-position model. The record is from RNAcentral.
UACGGAGGGUGCAAGCGUUAUCCGGAUUCACUGGGUUUAAAGGGUGCGUAGGUGGGCAGGUAAGUCAGUGGUGAAAUCUCCGGGCUUAACCCGGAAACUGCCGUUGAUACUAUCUGUCUUGAAUCUUGUUGAGGUAGGCGGAACGGGUCAUGUAGCGGUGAAAUGCAUAGAUAUGACCGGAACACCGAUUGCGAAGGCAGCCUACUAAGCAAGUAUUGACGCUGAGGCACGAAAGCGUGGGGAUCAAACAGG